RNAcentral lists this ribosomal RNA (1303 nucleotides) under Gergithus sp. 2 NS-2013. RNAcentral describes it as "SSU rRNA". It matches the Rfam family "Eukaryotic small subunit ribosomal RNA", at positions 465 to 1677 of the family's 1831-position model. Lineage: Eukaryota; Metazoa; Arthropoda; Insecta; Hemiptera; Issidae. The record is from RNAcentral.
UAGUGACGAAAAAUAACGAUACGGGACUCAUCCGAGGCCCCGUAAUCGGAAUGAGUAUACUCUAAAUCCUUAUACGAGUAUCAAUUGGAGGGCAAGUCUGGUGCCAGCAGCCGCGGUAAUUCCAGCUCCAAUAGCGUAUAUUAAAGUUGUUGCGGUUAAAAAGCUCGUAGUUGGAUCUGUGUCCCGCACCGUCGGUUCACCGCCUGUCGGUGUUCAACUGUCGUGUAUGCGGAACGUCCUGCCGGUGGCGGUCCGGUGCCCCGUCGGUACGUAGGGGUCGUCCUUGCUUCGCUUGCGUCGUCCCCGAAGGCCUUCGUGGUGUCUCCGGCCGCCUUUAUAUCCCGUCGCGGUGCUCUUCACCGAGUGUCGAGGCGGGCCGGCACGUUUACUUUGAACAAAUUAGAGUGCUUUAAGCAGGCCCUGUCCCGCCUGUAUGUUGUGUGCAUGGAAUAAUGGAAUAGGACCUCGGUUCUAUUUUGUUGGUUUUCGGAAUCUGAGGUAAUGAUCAAUGGGGACAGGCGGGGGCAUUCGUAUUGCGACGUUAGAGGUGAAAUUCUUGGAUCGUCGCAAGACGGACCGAAGCGAAAGCAUUUGCCAAGUAUGUUCUCGUCGAUCAAGAACGAAAGUUAGAGGUUCGAAGGCGAUCAGAUACCGCCCUAGUUCUAACCAUAAACUAUGCCUGCCAGCGAUCCGCCGAAGUUCCUCCGAUGACUCGGCGGGCAGCUUCCGGGAAACCAGAGCUUUUGGGUUCCGGGGGAAGUAUGGUUGCAAAGCUGAAACUUAAAGGAAUUGACGGAAGGGCACCACCAGGAGUGGAGCCUGCGGCUUAAUUUGACUCAACACGGGAAAACUCACCAGGCCCGGACACCGGAAGGAUUGACAGAUUGAGAGCUCUUUCUUGAUUCGGUGGGUGGUGGUGCAUGGCCGUUCUUAGUUGGUGGAGCGAUUUGUCUGGUUAAUUCCGAUAACGAACGAGACUCUAGCCUACUAACUAGGCGUACCCGGUAUCCACAAUCGUGCUACCGGCGAUCAUAUUUCUUCUUAGAGGGACAGGCGGCUUCUAGCCGCACGAGACUGAGCAAUAACAGGUCUGUGAUGCCCUUAGAUGUCCUGGGCCGCACGCGCGCUACACUGAAGGAAUCAGCGUGUCUUCCCUGUCCGAAAGGACCGGGUAACCCGCUGAACCUCCUUUGUGCUAGGGAUUGGGGCUUGCAAUUGUUCCCCAUGAACGAGGAAUUCCCAGUAAGCGCGAGUCAUAAGCUCGCGUUGAUUACGUCCCUGCCCUUUGUACACACCGCCCGUC